This 68-nucleotide transfer RNA is filed under the name Alpinocottus poecilopus (alpine bullhead). RNAcentral's name for it is "tRNA-Ser". Lineage: Eukaryota; Metazoa; Chordata; Actinopteri; Perciformes; Cottidae. The record is from RNAcentral.
GAGAGAGGCUCGCCAGCAACGGGGACUGCUAAUCUCCGCGACCUUGGUUGAACCCCAGGGCUCACUCG